Molecule: ribosomal RNA, 423 nt
Filed under: Verrucomicrobiota bacterium
Lineage: Bacteria; Pseudomonadati; Verrucomicrobiota
Description: Verrucomicrobia bacterium partial 16S ribosomal RNA
Rfam family: Bacterial small subunit ribosomal RNA
Source: RNAcentral
UGAGGAAUAUUGGUCAAUGGGCGCGAGCCUGAACCAGCCAAGUCGCGUGAGGGACGACGGUCCUACGGAUUGUAAACCUCUUUAGGCGGGGAGUAAUGUGCUCUACGAGUAGAGUAGUGAGAGUACCCGCAGAAUAAGCAUCGGCUAACUCCGUGCCAGCAGCCGCGGUAAUACGGAGGAUGCGUGCGUUAUCCGGAUUUAUUGGGUUUAAAGGGUGCGCAGGCUGUGCAUCAAGUCAGCGGUAAAAUCUCGGGGCUCAACCCCGUUUAGCCGUUGAAACUGGUGUGCUGGAGUGUGCGCGAGGAAGGCGGAAUGCGCGGUGUAGCGGUGAAAUGCAUAGAUAUUGCGCAGAACUCCGAUUGCGAAGGCAGCCUUCCAGUGCAUGACUGACGCUGAGGCACGAAAGCGUGGGUAUCGAACAGG